GUCUUGUAACUCUUGUCUCUUGGGUUAUGUAACUCCUAGAGUUAUAAAGUGGGGGGUUAUGGUUCCCAUUCUAGUGCAAGACAAGUUCUUCUUCUUCAUUGAAUCAAGAACCAUAUUGUCCAAUGUCUUGCAAAUAGGGUGGAAAACCAGUAAGCCAAAAUUUUGAAUAUUGUCAUAACAAUAUUAUUGUGAACCUUUCAUACAUUGUGUUAGN
RNAcentral lists this long non-coding RNA (214 nucleotides) under Nicotiana benthamiana. RNAcentral's name for it is "long non-coding RNA (NBEN_LNC036219)". The record is from RNAcentral. Lineage: Eukaryota; Viridiplantae; Streptophyta; Magnoliopsida; Solanales; Solanaceae.